CGCGUAGGCGGAUUUUCUAGUCAGGCGUGAAAGCCCCGGGCUCAACCCGGGAACUGCGUUUGAUACUGGAAGUCUAGAGUUCUGGAGAGGGUGGUGGAAUUCCCAGUGUAGAGGUGAAAUUCGUAGAUAUUGGGAAGAACACCGGUGGCGAAGGCGGCCACCUGGCCAGACACUGACGCUAAGGCGCGAAAGCGUGGGGAGCGAACAGGAUUAGAUACCCUGGUAGUCC
Molecule: ribosomal RNA, 229 nt
Filed under: uncultured bacterium
Lineage: Bacteria
Description: partial 16S ribosomal RNA
Rfam family: Bacterial small subunit ribosomal RNA
Source: RNAcentral